Arabidopsis thaliana (thale cress) is the source of this 206-nucleotide long non-coding RNA. RefSeq annotates it as other RNA. The transcript has a single exon. Lineage: Eukaryota; Viridiplantae; Streptophyta; Magnoliopsida; Brassicales; Brassicaceae. The record is from RefSeq.
CAUUUAUCCCCCCCUACCAGAAUCGGUUUAAGCCUUUAAGGGUAAUCCGGUAAAUUAAUUGCCUGAAAUUAAGGCCCACUUAGAAGCCCACUUUCCUUUUUUCCCGAGAGGUAAUGCAAAGAAUUUAUGUGUGUAAAAAGAGCUGCAAAAAAAUUAAAAAAAAAAGAAGAAGCGGUUCGAGAGAGACGGAGACAAACACGGCCUUA